RNAcentral lists this ribosomal RNA (253 nucleotides) under uncultured bacterium. RNAcentral describes it as "partial 16S ribosomal RNA". It matches the Rfam family "Bacterial small subunit ribosomal RNA", at positions 524 to 776 of the family's 1533-position model. The record is from RNAcentral.
UACGAAGGGGGCUAGCGUUGCUCGGAAUUACUGGGCGUAAAGGGCGCGUAGGCGGACAGUUUAGUCAGAGGUGAAAGCCCAGGGCUCAACCCUGGAAUUGCCUUUGAUACUGGCUGUCUUGAGUACGGGAGAGGUGUGUGGAACUCCGAGUGUAGAGGUGAAAUUCGUAGAUACUCGGAAGAACACCAGUGGCGAAGGCGACACACUGGCCCGUUACUGACGCUGAGGCGCGAAAGCGUGGGGAGCAAACAGG